Molecule: long non-coding RNA, 275 nt
Filed under: Nicotiana benthamiana
Lineage: Eukaryota; Viridiplantae; Streptophyta; Magnoliopsida; Solanales; Solanaceae
Description: long non-coding RNA (NBEN_LNC020622)
Source: RNAcentral
UCUCAGGAGCCUUCCACCUCUCCGAUGAGUUCCCUUCAUCUUCUCCGUCCACUUUCUGACCUGAAUCCAUGGUGGUUUACCACCCACCAGUCUCCUAUGGCUCCUCACGCUUGAUUACUCAAGUCCCAUGACUUGACCACAAAGAGUUGAAUCUGGACCUUUGUCGAUUCAAGUUCUACGUCCAUCUUCGGCUCAAAUUCGGUGUAUCCUAGCCCUAUGAGUCCAUCUCUGACUCGUUCGACUCGGACCAGACCCUUUUCCAGGUCUCUCUUAAU